This 266-nucleotide ribosomal RNA is filed under the name uncultured bacterium. RNAcentral describes it as "partial 16S ribosomal RNA". It matches the Rfam family "Bacterial small subunit ribosomal RNA", at positions 793 to 1055 of the family's 1533-position model. The record is from RNAcentral.
GUCCACGCCGUAAACGAUGGGUACUAGGCGUCGGGGGGAGCGACCCCCUCGGUGCCGUCGCUAACGCAGUAAGUACCCCGCCUGGGGAGUACGGUCGCAAGACUGAAACUCAAAAGGAAUUGACGGGGGCCCGCACAAGCGGUGGAGCAUGUGGUUUAAUUCGAAGCAACGCGAAGAACCUUACCUGGGCUUGACAUGCACGGGAAAGCCGGUGGAAACAUCGGCCCCUCUUCGGAGUCCGUGCACAGGUGCUGCAUGGCUGUCGU